GUGCUCUUAUUAGUCGGAAUACGAAUGGACAAUCGAGAAAUAGAGGAAAUUCGAGCAAUAGAAGUAAUCAGCGUAAUAGGGAGGCGAAUUCUAAUCAAGACUCAAAGGGAAUCAUUUGUUAUUACUGUUGUAAGCCUGGUCAUAGAAGGUAUAAUUGUUUAAAGCUUCAAAGAAAAAAUCAGCGGUCCCAGAAGACGAAUAUGGCAGCAAAUGAUAAUUUUUCCUCCACUGAGAAAACUAUCUCGAUAUCUGUAGAGGAGUAUGCAUAGUUUUCUCAGUAUCAGACAUCUCUAAAGUCUUCCAGUGCCCUCGUCACUGCCAUUACUAAGUCAGGUAAACCCACCAUAUGCUUAGUAUAUUCCUCAUCCAAAUGGGUCAUUGA
Molecule: unclassified non-coding RNA, 382 nt
Filed under: Hevea brasiliensis (rubber tree)
Lineage: Eukaryota; Viridiplantae; Streptophyta; Magnoliopsida; Malpighiales; Euphorbiaceae
Source: RNAcentral